UGAGGAAUAUUGGGCAAUGGGCGCAAGCCUGACCCAGCCAUGCCGCGUGAAGGAUGAAUGCCCUAUGGGUUGUAAACUUCUUUUGUACGGGACGAAACUCCUGGUCGUGACCGGGAUUGACUGUACCGUACGAAUAAGCAUCGGCUAACUCCGUGCCAGCAGCCGCGGUAAUACGGAGGAUGCAAGCGUUAUCCGGAUUCAUUGGGUUUAAAGGGUGCGUAGGCGGAAUAAUAAGUCAGUGGUGAAAGCCUGCGGCUUAACCGUAGAAAUGCCAUUGAUACUGUUAUUCUUGAGUAUAGUUGAGGUGGGCGGAAUGUGUAAUGUAGCGGUGAAAUGCUUAGAUAUUACACAGAACACCAAUUGCGAAGGCAGCUCACUAAGCUGUUACUGACGCUGAGGCACGAAAGCUAGGGGCACGAACC
This 422-nucleotide ribosomal RNA is filed under the name uncultured prokaryote. RNAcentral describes it as "bacterial SSU rRNA". It matches the Rfam family "Bacterial small subunit ribosomal RNA", at positions 355 to 774 of the family's 1533-position model. The record is from RNAcentral.